Molecule: ribosomal RNA, 3074 nt
Filed under: Scaptodrosophila lebanonensis
Lineage: Eukaryota; Metazoa; Arthropoda; Insecta; Diptera; Drosophilidae
Description: eukaryotic LSU rRNA
Rfam family: Eukaryotic large subunit ribosomal RNA
Source: RNAcentral
GCAAGUCAUUGGGAUUUAUUUUAUAAACCUAAUGGCGUAAUUAACUUGACUACCAAUACAAAUUGGGAUUAGUUUUAAAUUUUUAUAUAGUUUAUUAAAUUCAAUCCCGGGGCGCUCUAUAUAGUUAUGUAUAAUAAUAUUUAUUUAUUUAUACCUCUAACUGGAACUUACCUUGAGCAUAUAUGCUGUGACCCGAAAGAUGGUGAACUAUACUUGAUCAGGUUGAAGUCAGGGAAACCCUGAUGGAAGACCGAAACAGUUCUUGACGUGCAAAUCGAUUGUCAGAAUUGAGUAUAGGGGCGAAAGACCAAUCGAACCAUCUAGUAGCUGGUUCCUUCCGAAGUUUCCCUCAGGAUAGCUGGUGCAUUUAUAUAUUGCAUAAAAUAAUCUUAUCUGGUAAAGCGAAUGAUUAGAGGCCUUAGGUGUCGAAACGAUCUUAACCUAUUCUCAAACUUUAAAUGGGUAAGAACCUUAACUUUCUUGAAAUGAAGUUUAAGGUUAUGAUAUAAUGUGCCCAGUGGGCCACUUUUGGUAAGCAGAACUGGCGCUGUGGGAUGAAACCAAACGUAAUGUUACGGUGCCCAAUUAACAACUCAUGCAGAUACCAUGAAAGGCGUUGGUUGCUUCAAACAGCAGGACGGUGGACAUGGAAGUCGUAAUCCGCUAAGGAGUGUGUAACAACUCACCUGCCGAAGCAACUAGCCCUUAAAAUGGAUGGCGCUUAAGUUGUAUACCUAUACAUUACCGCUAAGUUAAAUGAUUCAUAUUUAUAUAAAAAUAUAAAUUUUGAAACUUUAGUGAGUAGGAAGGUACAAUGGUGUGCGUAAAGUGUUUGGCGUAAGCCCUGCAUGGAGCCGCCAUUGGUACAGAUCUUGGUGGUAGUAGCAAAUAAUCGAAUGAGACCUUGGAGGACUGAAGUGGAGAAGGGUUUCGUGUGAACAGUGGUUGAUCACGAGUUAGUCGGUCCUAAGUUCAAGGCGAAAGCCGAAAAUUUUUCAAGUAAAAAUAUAUAUAUAUAUCCAAACACCUACAUAUUAUUAUUGAUACACUUGAAUAAUUUUGAACGAAAGGGAAUACGUUUCCAAUUCCGUAACCUGUUUGAGUAUCCGUUUGUUAUUAAAUAUGGGCCUUGUGCUCAUCCUGGCAACAGGAACGACCAUAAAGAAGCCGUCGGAGAUAUCGGAAGAGUUUUCUUUUCUGUUUUAAUAGCCGUACUACCAUGAAGUUUUCGCAGAGAGAUAUGGUAGAUGGGCUAGAAGAGCAUGACAUAUACUGUUGUGUCGAUAUUUUCUCCCUCGGACCUUGAAAAUUUAUGGUGGGGACACGCAAACUUCUCAACAGGCCGUACCAAUAUCCGCAGCUGGUCUCCAAGGUGAAGAGUCUCUAGUCGAUGGAAUAAUGUAGGUAGGGAAGUCGGCAAAUUAGAUCCGUAACUUCGGGAUAAGGAUUGGCUCUGAAGAUUGAGAUAAUCGGGCUUGAUUGGGAAACAAUAACAUGGUUUUGUUCUCGUUCUGGGUAAAUAGAAUUUCGAUUAUUUUAAUGAUCGUCAUUUGUUCCCCGGAUUGUUAGUUACGUAGCCAAUUGUGGAACUUUCUUGCUAAAAUUUUUAAGAAUACUAAUCUGGAGUGGUUAACCUUUCAGUUUUAGCUCUUUAAAUUAUAACGAUUAUCAAUUAACAAUCAAUUCAGAACUGGCACGGACUUGGGGACCGACUGUCUAUCAAAACAAAGCAUUGUGAUGGCCCUAGCGGGUGUUGACACAAUGUGAUUUCUGCCCAGUGCUCUGAAUGUCAACGUGAAGAAAUUCAAGUAAGACGCGGGUCAACGCGGGAGUAACUAUGACUCUCUUAAGGUAGCCAAAUGCCUCGUCAUCUAAUUAGUGACGCGCAUGAAUGGAUUAACGAGAUUCCUACUGUCCCUAUCUACUAUCUAGCGAAACCACAGCCAAGGGAACGGGCUUGGAAUAAUUAGCGGGGAAAGAAGACCCUUUUGAGCUUGACUCUAAUCUGGCAGUGUAAGGAGACAUAAGAGGUGUAGAAUAAGUGGGGAGAUAUUAGAUUUCGGUUUAGUAUCGCCAAUGAAAUACCACUACUCUUAUUGUUUCCUUACUUACUGAUUAAAUGGAACGUGUAUCAUUUCCUAGCCAUUAUAACGGAUAUAUUUUUAAUAUCUUAUGGUAUUGGGUUUUGAUGCAAGCUUCUUGAUCAAAGUAUCAUGAGUUUGUUAUAUAAUUGCAAACAAAUCUAAUAAUGAGAGAUGCGCAUUUAUGUGUAUUUUCAAUUUAUGAAUUUGGUAUAACUCCAAUUACUCCGGUAUGAUCCAAUUCAAGGACAUUGCCAGGUAGGGAGUUUGACUGGGGCGGUACAUCUCUCAAUAAUAACGGAGGUGUCCCAAGCCAGCUCAGUGCGACAGAAACCACACAUAGAGCAAAAGGGCAAAAGCUGACUUGAUCUCGGUGUCCAGUACACACAGGGACAGCAAAAGCUCGGCCUAUCGAUCCUUUUGGUUUAAAGAGUUUUUAACAAGAGGUGUCAGAAAAGUUACCAUAGGGGAUAACUGGCUUGUGGCGGCCAAGCGUUCAUAGCGACGUCGCUUUUUGAUCCUUCGAUGUCGGCUCUUCCUAUCAUUGUGAAGCAAAUUCACCAAGCGUUGGAUUGUUCACCCAUGCAAGGGAACGUGAGCUGGGUUUAGACCGUCGUGAGACAGGUUAGUUUUACCCUACUAAUGACAAAAACGUUGUUGCGACAGCAUUCCUGCGUAGUACGAGAGGAACCGCAGGUACGGACCUAUGGCACAAUACUUGUUCGAGCGAACAGUGGUAUGACGCUACGUCGUCGUUCCGUUGGAUUAUGCCUGAACGCCUCUAAGGCGUAUCCGUGCUGGACUGCAAUGAUAAAAUGGGGCAAUUUGCAUUGUAUGGCUUCUAAAUCAUUAAAAGUUUAUAUGCAUUUAUAAACGACAAUGAAUAUGUGAUGCCAAUGUUAUGAGUAACAUAGUUAACUUUGGAGGAUCUUCGAUCACCUGGUGCCAAUGCUAGUUACUUAUUAAAACAUUAUUUAAUACAAUGACAAGCCU